UAAUACCCGGCAACAUUGAUUUUAAUCUGAUCAAUGGUUCACUAAACAUAACAAUACUAUAUAUUACACGUAAAUAAACCAGAAGCAUCAUGUCCAUGUCCCCUUAGAUUUUUGAGCCAAGUGGAAUUCAAAUGCAACUUCCCAAAAAUAUACGUGUAUCUGCCUGGAAACCCUUUACAAUAAGGUUCCGUUAGUUAAAGGUGAAGUGUGUAAGUUCUGCGCUACUAGUGGCACCAAACGGAAUUACAAAGAUCAAGUAUGUUUUCAAACAACCUUAGCCAACACCCCUUAGGAGAAUUGUGUCUCUGCAGAACAAAAAUAGGUGUUUUCCAAUCAGUGGGGGUUUUCAAACCGGGAUGGGCAUUUUUCAACGCUUCACACGAUUUGCCUAUUACAUGAGAAGGAUAUAGCUGCAGGUAUUGCUCCAAAAAGGGGUGGUUGCUCUAAACCACCACUGAAGAUAUAGGAAGCCCCUUACAUAACCCUUUCCCUAACCUUAACCGUGAGUGGAAGUGACACCCCCCUUUUGGAGUUGGCGCAACCCCGUCUGCUUUUGGAGUAACUCCGCCCUCUUUUUGGACAUUCUGCCCCCAUUUAGAGGUCUCUGGCCUGUAGAUAUAAUUACUUGUACUACAUUGAGAUUCCCUACUUUCAUUGAUAGUUCAGAAACGCCCAUCCUGGUUUGGAAAUGCCCACUGAUUACUACACUGAGAUUGUUCCGCAAAGACCUAUACUUCCCCCUUAGACACAUCAUGCCCUUUCGCACUCUCUGAUUCCCUGUGAACAAAUAGGCAAUACUAAAUAAAAGCUGAUAAAUGUUUAACGUCGUAACAAACAAGACCACUAUAACAUACAUACACUGGACAGAAAGCGUGGCAGAGGAAUCGGCACAUCCGAUAACAUCACCGGAUUGAACAGCAGCUGGGUGUGUGGGGGAUCUAGCACAAGAGACGAGCUGACAGGAAGCCCAGUGCCUAUUCCUGCAUCUGUAGCUGUCAUUUUCCUUCAGUGAAUAAAAAAGUCCCUGUUUUAUUUGUAGCCACAAAUGAUGUCCCCAUUGGACAAAAUUGUGAAGAUCAUUCCUACUGCUUGAGAAAGGAAAACACUGAUGGGAAUGAAAUCGGUCCACAAGCCAUGGAUGGAGAGGAGGAAGGAGCUACACAGCUUAUGGCUGAUAAGGAGGAAGGAGAUCCACUAUCUCAGGCUGCUGUAAAGGGUCCUCAACCCUUUACCAACAAUGUUGAGGAAUAAUCAAGUAGUAAAAUGGUAGAAGAGCUGCAGUCUGAAUGAAGAAAUAGGAUUCAGCUUGAGAUCCAGCAAGAGCACACUACAGCAGAGUUGAGGUCUCAAGUAAAAGCAGAGUUACUGUCGUGACAGGUAUUCUGCCUCUCAGAUGAGUGAAAGUGUUCUUCGGAUGGAGACGGGAUUGCCAGAUAAAGAUAUCUUCAGUGCUGUAUGUGAAUAUGUUGCUCGUUUUGAGGGUUCCAUUACAUACCAUGCCGGUCGGACACCCAAAAAACUCAUUCUUGAAGAACAAAUUUUCAUGACCCUCAUGAAACUCUGUCAUAACUGUACACACCUGCACCUGGCUGCAUUCUUCCACUGCAGUGAAAGCACUGUCAGGAAUGUGUCAAUAACUUUUAUAUAGUUCUUCACAGGCUCCUCUUUAAGGACAUCAUGAGCACUGUACACAGCCGGGAGAAAAAUAAAACCUGCUUGCCUUCUUAAUUUCUGCACUUCCAAAAUUUCAGAAUGAUAUUGGAUUGCACUGACAUCAAAAUCGCUAUUGCCAAGCAAAUGGAUACCCAGAAAGAGACCUACUCUGCAUACCGUGGCAUGCACUCCUUCAAACUACUCCUGAGGGUGGCACCGAAUGCUGUGAACACUUACUGCAGCAAACUUUACCCAGGAUCAGUAAGUGAUAAGGAAAUAGAACUGGAUUCUGUCUUUCUGGACAAUUUCAAGCCUGGAGACCUGAAUUUUGCUGACAAGGGAUUCCUGAUCCAAAAUAUUCUGCCUGAAGGAGUCACAGUAAACAUUCCCCCAUUCCUCAGUCAUGUCCAACUGACACACAGCAAAGCACAUGCUACAAAGCUGAUUGCACAGAAUAGGAUUCAUGUUGAAAGGACAAAUGCCCAUUUAAAAUAAUUUAGAAUCCUGAAAUUCAUCCCAUCUCAUGAGACACUUUGCAGAUAAGCUGGUUCAGGUAUGCUGUGCACUAGUGAACUUCCAAAGUCCUCUCAUAAAAGAAGAGGCAGCAGAAUAGUGCAAAAAAAAUGUAUCUUCCUCCAUCCAGCCAGCAACACCAGGAUCUCUUCCUCCUGCUACUUCACAGUGAAGGGACACUUCACCUCCAGCACCGCCGAAGACCCCACCAGACCAUCUGGAGAUGCUCACAACAAUCAUGAUGGAGAGAGCCACAAGCCUGACUCUUGAACUGGCAUCUGUGUUACAGUAGUGAAUACCCUGAUGCCCUCACUCUCGUUCACAAUCCCCCACUGUACAGACAAAACACCAUCUAGUGCUCGCUGCUGUCCCAGCAACCUGGCAAGAAGUGAAGCAGCCACACACUUUGACUUAAGGACAGCUCCAAAAUUACUGGCUGUCAGCCCCCCUCUCCUAAAUAAAUGCCAGUUUGGGUUGGUAUGCUGGCCAGUUGUUGCCACCUGAAUGGCUCUCCAUUACUCCUCUGACAAGGCCAUGCUGGCCAGGAUAGCAGAAAGUGUUGCCAAGGUGUAUGGUUCCUCUUCUGGCUCAAGUGAGAGAAGCCAAGACAUUCCUGAGAACCUACCCCUCAGCCAGUCACGAUCCUCAGCAGUUGGCUCUCUUGUCAGUGGGUUAUAGGGCUUAUUCGAAGGGUGUCUGUGCAGCUGAAAUUGUGGAUGGCAAAGAUAGCCAAUGCAGCUGUAUGACUGCAUUUGCAUUUUCCACAUGGGCAUUCAUAUUGUGUGGUGAGAAUACCCUCUUCACCUGUAGAGACCUGUGUCAUGGUGGGAUUCAUGUUAAAAGUUGACAGGUACUUUAUAGAUAAUUUGAAUAAACUUAAUUUAUGGGAAUGUGUGUGUGUGUGUGUGUGUCUAAGCGAUUUUGUGUUUGUUUGUUUUUUAACAUUUAAAGAUGUUAAUUCUACAGUGCUGUUGUGAGGUUGUAUUUUAGCCACUGUCUGAGAUGUGGACCAGGUCAAAACUAUGGAGUGAAACAAACAUGAAUGAAUAUGAUUUAUAUAGAGAAAAUAAACAA
Myxocyprinus asiaticus (Chinese sucker) is the source of this 3240-nucleotide long non-coding RNA. RefSeq lists it as uncharacterized. The record is from RefSeq and is a predicted model, not a curated record. NCBI's taxonomy places the organism in Eukaryota, Metazoa, Chordata, Actinopteri, Cypriniformes, Catostomidae. The transcript is spliced from 3 exons.